UUAAAUUGAAGAGUUUGAUCAUGGCUCAGAUUGAACGCUGGCGGCAGGCCUAACACAUGCAAGUCGAACGGUAACAGGAAGCAGCUUGCUGCUUGGCUGACGAGUGGCGGACGGGUGA
RNAcentral lists this ribosomal RNA (118 nucleotides) under Salmonella enterica subsp. enterica serovar Bovismorbificans. RNAcentral describes it as "partial 16S ribosomal RNA". It matches the Rfam family "Bacterial small subunit ribosomal RNA", at positions 1 to 109 of the family's 1533-position model. The record is from RNAcentral. Lineage: Bacteria; Pseudomonadati; Pseudomonadota; Gammaproteobacteria; Enterobacterales; Enterobacteriaceae.